GCCUAAAGCGUCCGUAGCCGGCUCUGUAAGUUUUCGGUUAAAUCCAUAUGCUCAACAUAUGGGCCGCCGGGAAUACUGCAUAGCUAGGGAGUGGGAGAGGUAGACGGUACUCCGUAGGAAGGGGUAAAAUCCUUUGAUCUAUGGAUGACCACCUGUGGCGAAGGCGGUCUACCAGAACACGUUCGACGGUGAGGGAUGAAAGCUGGGGGAGCAAACCGGAUUAGAUACCCGGGUAGUCCCAGCUGUAAACUAUGCAAACUCAGUGAUGCAUUGGCUUGUGGCCAGUGCAGUGCCGCAGAGAAGUCGUUAAGUUUGCCGCCUGGGAAGUACGUACGCAAGUAUGAAACUUAAAGGAAUUGGCGGGGGAGCACCACAAGGGGUGAAGCCUGCGGUUCAAUUGGAGUCAACGCCAGAAAUCUUACCCGGAGAGACAGCAGGAUGAAGGUCAAGCUGAAGACUUUACCAGACAAGCUGAGAAGUGGUGCAUGGCCGUCGCCAGCUCGUGCCGUGAGGUGUCCUGUUAAGUCAGGUAACGAGCGAGAUCCUUGCCUCUAGUUGCCACCAUUACUCUCAGGAGUAGUGGGGCGAAUUAGCGGGACUGCCGUAGUUAAUACGGAGGAAGGAGAGGACCACGGCAGGUCAGUAUGCCCCGAA
Molecule: ribosomal RNA, 654 nt
Filed under: uncultured archaeon
Lineage: Archaea
Description: bacterial SSU rRNA
Rfam family: Archaeal small subunit ribosomal RNA
Source: RNAcentral